GGCGAACGGGUGAGGAAUGCAUGGGCAACCUACCCUCGAGUGGGGAAUAACUAGCCGAAAGGUUAGCUAAUACCGCGUACGCUCCCUGGACUUCGGUCCGGGGAGGAAAGCGAUACCGUGGGUAUCGCGCUCCUGGAUGGGCUCAUGUCCUAUCAGCUUGUUGGUGAGGUAACGGCUCACCAAGGCUUCGACGGGUAGCUGGUCUGAGAGGACGAUCAGCCACACUGGCACUGCGACACGGGCCAGACUCCUACGGGAGGCAGCAGUAAGGAAUAUUGCGCAAUGGGCGAAAGCCUGACGCAGCGACGCCGCGUGGGGGAUGAAGGUCUUCGGAUUGUAAACCCCUUUCGGGAGGGAAGAUGGAACGAGCAAUCGUUCGGACGGUACCUCCAGGAGCAGCCACGGCUAACUUCGUGCCAGCAGCCGCGGUAAUACGAAGGUGGCAAGCGUUGUUCGGGUUUACUGGGCGUACAGGGAGCGUAGGCGGUUCGGUAAGCCCUUUGUGAAAUCUCCAGGCUUAACCUGGAACAGUCGGAGGGGACUGCUGGGCUAGAGGACGGGAGAGGAGCGCGGAAUUCCCGGUGUAGCGGUGAAAUGCGUAGAGAUCGGGAGGAAGGCCGGUGGCGAAGGCGGCUACCUGGCCCACUCUUGACGCUGAGGCGCGAAAGCUAGGGGAGCGAACGGGAUUAGAUACCCCGGUAGUCC
Molecule: ribosomal RNA, 705 nt
Filed under: uncultured bacterium
Lineage: Bacteria
Description: bacterial SSU rRNA
Rfam family: Bacterial small subunit ribosomal RNA
Source: RNAcentral